RNAcentral lists this non-coding RNA (92 nucleotides) under unclassified sequences. RNAcentral describes it as "S15-Flavobacteria ribosomal protein leader". It matches the Rfam family "S15-Flavobacteria ribosomal protein leader". The record is from RNAcentral.
UAUCUUUGCAGCCGCAUUAAAGAACGAGUCUUUAAUGUGAAGUCAGAAAACCUGACGUACAUAAUAUUCAUUAUCAAAAUAAUUUUGGCAUG